UUUCGUUCCUAUAAUGCUGUUAUAUGAUUACAUUCAUAUACGACAAUAGUAUUUUAAUAAUAAUAAAACCGAGAUUCCACCUGUUUUGGUGGUGGGAAAAUAUUCUAAUGUGUAUUUACAAUUGUUAAAACUUCCGUUUAAAAUGUAAAAAUGUAAAAAAUAAAAAAAACUAUAGCACAUCUCAUAGAAGUAUACAUCAUAGGAUUGUAAAAAAUAAAUUCAGGGACACUAUCAUCUACAUUGCAGGUGUUAACAAGUAAUGUGUGUAUUUUUUCCUAAAACUGAACAAAUCGUCAAAUCGUUUCUUUGUUCAACAAUAAUAGUUUCUGUUUGCGUUGAGGCAUCUUUUUAACCAAUACGUUUCGUUAAUUUAUACGUCAUAAUUUUUUCUAUUAUAUUGAUCAAUUGGUCAGGGUAGUAGAACAAACAUCUAAGACAUAAAUACUGCACACAAUUCGCGUUUGUUAAACGUUAAGUAAACCCAGACACGGCAACAUGUGGUUUAUUGAAUAGUAUUGUUACACAACGUACACAUGUCACAGUAAUAAUUGAUAAUAAAAGUAGUUUUUCGGUCAUUCAUAUGGAAUUUUUACGCAUUUGAGAAUACGCGAACGUAAAAAAGAGUUAUUUUAUACUUUGGCGGUCAAUUUCUUAUAGAUGUGAAGUUAUAGAAAAACGUGUUUUUAAAAAUAAGAAAUUGGUUAUAUAUACGCUGUGGUAACAAUUUACUUAAAAUUUACUUUUUCUCAUCAGUUAAUGACAACAUCAAGUUUUUAAUUUAUGUAGCGUGGAAAGUUUUAAUUGGACUCUUAAUAGAAAAGAAAAUAUAUAAAUAUACUUUAAAUAUAUUACUGCAAUAUCACAAUUUUUGGUAAAACAUUUUCAACACUAAAUAUUAUGAUACAGUUGACAAUGUACUUGAACAUGAAGAGGAAGUCACACAUUUGAGAAACCUCUUAAUAUUAUUAAGUUAUUAUUCUUAGGUUUUUAAGUCGCGGCACCAAUUCCUUUUGAGGCGUCUUGUAGGGUUCCCAGGAAGUGUUAAAGAAGCUAAAUCGUGUAUUAGUUGGUUGGGAAUAUCUUGUAACUUGGCGUGAAAAAUAUAAUGACAUGGGUCUCCUAUAGCUCUUUUAAAAGAAAACUUGUUUUCUAUACAUGGUGACUUUGUUACAAUCGUUGGCGACUAGUGAAGUUAAUGGGAAAUAAGAGAAAAAAGACAAGACGCAAAUUGAAUAUACAUAUACAUUUUUUGUUGUAAUAGUUUAAAUAUUAUUUAAUUAUUAAGAAAUAAUGUUUAAGAAUUUAUAGAGGAAAAACUUUUAUUUUUUUUUUAUAUAGUAUAUCUUAAUGCUGUUGUUUCUAAGUUUAAAUGAAUUAGUUUUUUAAAAUGUUCUUUUCAUACUCCUACAGUAUCAAUACGUACAUUUUCAAAAAUUUACAUUCCUUUCUGUAAA
Molecule: long non-coding RNA, 1454 nt
Organism: Daktulosphaira vitifoliae (grape phylloxera)
Lineage: Eukaryota; Metazoa; Arthropoda; Insecta; Hemiptera; Phylloxeridae
Exons: 4
Source: RefSeq, a predicted model, not a curated record